Cucurbita moschata (crookneck pumpkin) is the source of this 450-nucleotide long non-coding RNA. RefSeq lists it as uncharacterized. The record is from RefSeq and is a predicted model, not a curated record. NCBI's taxonomy places the organism in Eukaryota, Viridiplantae, Streptophyta, Magnoliopsida, Cucurbitales, Cucurbitaceae. The transcript is spliced from 3 exons.
UCUAAGAAUAUUAAGUUUUGAGACGUAAGUUUGUCAUUUGUAGAGAGAGCAAUUCAUACCACAAGUAAGGCAAAUUGAUCAAAGUAUUGCACAAAGAGGUGAAGGGUUGCUUCAGGAAUUAACAAAGAACGGAAGAAAAUUAUUUUUCGACCGAUGAUUGGUUUUGGAUACAUUUUCACAAAGAGCGAUUCACAUCUCAAAGAAAGACCAAGUUACAUCAAAGGGGGAUGACCCUUAUCAAGUGAUAAUUUUCCUGAUUCGAGGACGAAUCAUUUUGAAGAGAGGGAAGAUGAACACGGAGCAUUAUAUACUUUCAAAUAUAUGUAUAUUCUAUGAAUAUUGAACAUUAUAUACUUUUGUUUUAAAGUAACCUAAAUGCAUGUAUAAAUCGUAUUCAAUAAAAUAUAUUAUUAAAAUUUAAAAAGAAACUCAUUCAUAUUAUAAUAUAUG